GUUGUGAUGUGGUGGUGU
This 18-nucleotide unclassified non-coding RNA is filed under the name Chlamydomonas reinhardtii. RNAcentral's name for it is "small RNA Cre_2103". Lineage: Eukaryota; Viridiplantae; Chlorophyta; Chlorophyceae; Chlamydomonadales; Chlamydomonadaceae. The record is from RNAcentral.